Molecule: ribosomal RNA, 250 nt
Filed under: uncultured bacterium
Lineage: Bacteria
Description: partial 16S ribosomal RNA
Rfam family: Bacterial small subunit ribosomal RNA
Source: RNAcentral
UUUCGAAUCAUUCACAAUGGGCGAAAGCCUGAUGGUGCGACGCCGCGUGGGGGACGAAGGUCUUCGGAUUGUAAACCCCUGUCACCGGGGACAAAAAGCGAUCGGCCAAUACCCGAUUGCCUGAUUUAACCCGGAGAGGAAGCAGUGGCUAACUCUGUGCCAGCAGCCGCGGUAAUACAGAGACUGCAAGCGUUGUUCGGAUUUACUGGGCGUAAAGGGUGCGCAGGCGGCCGAAUGUGUCGGGUGUGAA